AUAUGAGGCAGAAAACGGAUUCGAAAUCCGUUGUACUGGCAACAGUACCUAGGGUUCAAAUCCCUAUCUCUCCGCCA
RNAcentral lists this transfer RNA (77 nucleotides) under Pseudomonas sp. VLB120. RNAcentral's name for it is "tRNA-Und (NNN) (tRNA-Und-NNN-1-1)". Lineage: Bacteria; Pseudomonadati; Pseudomonadota; Gammaproteobacteria; Pseudomonadales; Pseudomonadaceae. The record is from RNAcentral.